This 719-nucleotide ribosomal RNA is filed under the name uncultured Verrucomicrobiaceae bacterium. RNAcentral describes it as "bacterial SSU rRNA". It matches the Rfam family "Bacterial small subunit ribosomal RNA", at positions 94 to 814 of the family's 1533-position model. RNAcentral also lists the same sequence under 1 other name. The record is from RNAcentral. Lineage: Bacteria; Pseudomonadati; Verrucomicrobiota; Verrucomicrobiia; Verrucomicrobiales; Verrucomicrobiaceae.
AGUGGCGCACGGGUGCGUAACACGUGAGUUACAUGCCCUGCAGUGGGGAAUAGCCCGCCGAAAGGCGGAUUAAUACCCCAUGGUCCCGCGAGGGUAAAGGUGGCGCAAGCUGCCGCUGCAGGAUUGGCUCGCGGCCUAUCAGCUGGUUGGCGGGGUAACGGCCCACCAAGGCGACGACGGGUACCUGGUCUGAGAGGAUGAUCAGGCACACUGGAACUGAGACACGGUCCAGACACCUACGGGUGGCAGCAGUCGAGAAUAAUUCACAAUGGGCGAAAGCCUGAUGGUGCAACGCCGCGUGGAGGAUGAAGGUCUUCGGAUUGUAAACUCCUGUCAUCGGGGAGUAAGACCUGGGCGUGAACAGCGCACAGGGUUGAUAGUACCCGAAGAGGAAGGGACGGCUAACUUCGUGCCAGCAGCCGCGGUAAUACGAAGGUCCCAAGCGUUGUUCGGAAUCACUGGGCGUAAAGGGAGCGUAGGCUGCGCGGUAAGUCAGAUGUGAAAUCCCGGGGCUCAACCCCGGAACUGCAUCCGAUACUGCCGUGCUUGAGGGUUGGAGAGGUAGCUGGAAUUCUCGGUGUAGCAGUGAAAUGCGUGGAUAUCGAGAGGAACACUCGUGGCGAAGGCGAGCUACUGGACAGCAUCUGACGCUGAGGCUCGAAGGCCAGGGGAGCAAAAGGGAUUAGAUACCCCUGUAGUCCUGGCAGUAAACGGUGUGC